Molecule: ribosomal RNA, 301 nt
Filed under: uncultured bacterium
Lineage: Bacteria
Description: partial 16S ribosomal RNA
Rfam family: Bacterial small subunit ribosomal RNA
Source: RNAcentral
CAGUCGCCGCGGGAAUACGUAGGGUGCAAGCGUUAAUCGGAAUUACUGGGCGUAAAGCGUGCGCAGGCGGUUAUAUAAGACAGAUGUGAAAUCCCCGGGCUCAACCUGGGAACUGCAUUUGUGACUGUAUAGCUAGAGUACGGCAGAGGGGGAUGGAAUUCCGCGUGUAGCAGUGAAAUGCGUAGAUAUGCGGAGGAACACCGAUGGCGAAGGCAAUCCCCUGGGCCUGUACUGACGCUCAUGCACGAAAGCGUGGGGAGCAAACAGGAUUAGAGACCCCAGUAGUCCCUGUCUCUUAUAC